RNAcentral lists this long non-coding RNA (3888 nucleotides) under Sus scrofa (pig). RNAcentral's name for it is "lncRNA (ENSSSCG00035030061.1)". The record is from RNAcentral. Lineage: Eukaryota; Metazoa; Chordata; Mammalia; Artiodactyla; Suidae.
AAUAGUGGAAAUUCUUCUGGAAACUUCGUUUCAUCCCCUCAUAGAGAGUAGUUUUGAUAUGCUCCCAACUCUGCCAAGUGGACAGACUCCACUAGCUCUCUUAGAAUACAGAAAUAUAGAAAGAAAAAUAGAAUUGAAAAGCAAAAGGCACAAAAUUUGUGUGUACAUAUGGCAAUGGGAUAACUGCUUUAGACAUAUUUUGGUCUGUAAACGCCUGUGGCAACUUGCUCCUUUGUUUUUCCAGAUUUUGCUCAUGGGAGGGACACUUAAUUUGUUCUUUGAAUUUAACCAUUGUGUUUAACAUACAUCCUGAUUUAAUCAUUUUGGUCAAAAUUUUCUUUUUAUAACAUCCAGACAGCUUGUGCAUAUAACCACAUGCAGUUUUAUUUUGUCACCAACUGGUCACCAUAUGGAAGCCAGUUGAAAUGUAUUUUGAUUAUAUAACUUUUUGCACAUAGGCACAUCAUCUUGGGGUGCUCAGGUAGCAUUGUGGCAAGUGGAUUCAUCUUGAGACUAAAGAUAAGGGUCUGAUAGUUGGCAUUUCUGGACUCAUAAUAUCUUGUCAAAGAAUGACCUGUGAAAUGGUAACCAAUGCCUUAGAUUACCUUUUCAUAGGAUGGACUCAUAAAAAUAUGUGCUAUCCAACCUUCUUCAGAGGUGAUGAUUAAUGUUACAGGUAUUUCUUUAGUAAUUUGACUAUACAAACAAUACAUUCACAAUAAAAAAAUAUAUUUAUAGAACAGAGAAGCAGAAGGAAGACUAGAGUGAGUGGUUAGAGCUGUUGAAAUGCAUAUGUAAUUUCUUCCCUUUUUAAAAAAAUUGAAAGUGGGCUCUUGCACAGAGACUUCUGUCAUAAAAAUGAAAAUGAAUAAUAAAAACUGCAUUUUUUCCUUCCUUAUUCACCCCUGGUAAAUGUUAUUUUAAGGUCAUUUAAAAUAAAAUAAUUUUCUUACAACAUUUAAUUACAUGUGUUGAAAAAUGACCUAAUUUACUGUAGAAAUAAGGAUUUAUUUUUAGUCUCAAAUUUAAAGAUAUAAGAAAAUAACAUGCAGUAGUUUUCUAGAUGCUAUUAGAUAUUUGUUUUCCAUUUUGGCAUUUCCUUUCAGUUGACCUGACAUGAAGAUAAAAAUGACAGCUAUUUUUCAGUUGGCAUUUGAAAGACAAGAGCAGUAAGAAACCCAGCAGAACUCCUAGAGAAUUUUCAUAGGGAAAAUAAACAUAUUGACAUUCUUUGACUUUUGUAUAUUGAUUUUUCGCACCAGCUGCUCCAAAGCCAUUAAGAGUUGGAGUUAAUCAUUCUUGAUUUUUUUACUGUCAAUCAGUUCCCUUAUUCAUAAUGCUGAAUAAUACCAAUACUAUUUAGUUUUAUUUAUGCUCACAUGCAGUGCUAUGGUAAAAAAUUCAUAAGGUGGCAUACUGAAAUUCUUGCAGGUAACUGCUAAAAUAUGAGUUCUUUAGUAGGCUGUUGAUUGAUAUUCUAAGUAAAGGAAUAAAUCUUGUGAAUUUCAAAGGUGGUUGAAGAAUGAUCUUAACCCAACAGUGUUAAAAGUAUUGGUAUCUCUGUCCUACAAAGAUAACCUGAAGGCUCUUUUGAAAUAUGUACAAAUCCUUAAUUUAAAAAAAAAAUUACUGGUGAAUUCAACUUAAUUAGCAGUAAAAAGGAAUGGUUCUUCAUCCCUAUGUUGGUAUCUACUUUCCUUGCAAGGUUAUCUAUCAAAGCUUCUUGAUAGAAAUUGAUGCCCGAGUCUAAUAAGCUCACUCACUAUAGAUUCAUAAAGUGUUCCUGUUCAUAACAAACUUUUAAACCCAGGGGAAAAAAAAUGGACAGUGUGAUAAGCUGAACAAUGACCUUCCAAAGACAUCUACGCCCUAAUCCCUGAAACCUGUAACUGUUACAUUACAUGGUGAAGGGGAGUUUGGUAGCAGAUGAAAUUAAGGUUACUAAUCAGUUGACCUUAAAAUAUAUUAUUCUGGAUUAUCCAAGUAAUCAGAUUCUCCCUAGAGUUUCCAGAAAGAAAGGCAGCCUUGAGAACAUCUUGAUUUUAGUCUUAUGUGACCCAUCCCAGACUUCUAAGCUACAGAACUGUAAGACAGGGAAUAAGUUUGUGAAAACUUGUCAGAGAAACAAUAAAAAACUAAUACAAACAGUAAAAGACAAUAAUGUCUAUUAAAUCAUGCAGUCAUGGAACAUCUAUUACAUGCCUGCUUAAUAAAUACAGUUUAAUUCCUAUUGCAACCUCUGUGGUGUAAUUAAAACAUCCUCCAUGAAUCAGUGAAAAUCAUACUUGAGUGUCUGUCAAUUGCUUUAAUAACAGCUUUAUGACUUCUCUACUAAUUAUAUUAGGAAGGCUGGCGCUUAAUGGAGUGGGCAAUGGGGUUGACACCCCCAAACAUCUUUCCACCCACACACAUCAUGUACAACCAUUCAUUUUCACCCUGUUCCUAAGGUUCCCCAUUAAUGCAGGGGGAUGCUGGCUCAUGACUAUUCUAGGCACAUGCGGAAUUUAUUUGCCUGAACAGUUUGAUUAAGGGUCCAGGAAAAACUUAGUCAAACUCAUCCUGUAAGAAGUUAGAAGGGAAUUUUGAAACAUUCUAGUUCAAUAUUUUGGUUUUACAAAUGAGCAAAUUCAGGUCCAUGUCACUCAGCUGGUAAGUAGUAAAACUGAGAGGAGACUCCAAGUAUCCUGUUUCUUCCUAGUUCUGUGUUGUUUCCACUGUAGAAUGAAUUCCAACCAGACCUAUACAGUCAGUUCCCCAGCUGGUCCAAAUUAGAAUCACCAUCAAGCAAAGACACAUGAAGUAGUACAGCAAGACACCGUAGCUGAUAUCUGUAUACAUCCCUUCAUUAACACCAAAGAGAAAAACAAAAGUUCCAUGUUCAGUAAUAAUUGAGACCAACACUUUUCAUGGAUAUAAAUAAUAUGACUUCUUAUGGUAAAAAUUACCAAAUCAUUAAGGCACAAAAAACAAUAAGCUUACACUUUACCUUGUCUCUUAGUUACAAUCGCUGCUGCUGGAUUGACCUAAAGACUUGGGAGAUUUUUGAUGUUAACAUGGCCAAACCUCUUCUCUUACUUUCUAGAUAUGGUGCUUUGGGUAAAUUAGUCAAUUUUUCUAAGUCUAGGUUUCUUUCUCUGUACUAUAGAAAUGACUCUUCUAUAAUCAGAGAGCUAUUAUAAGGAUUAAAGGGCCAAAUAUUUGCAAAUUCCAUCCUGGUUUUUUUCCUUUGUUUGAUUUUUAGGACCGCACUUGCGGCAUACAGAAGUUCCCAGGCUAGGGGUCGAAUCAGAGCGGUAGCUGCUGGCCUGUGACACAGCAAUGCAGAAUCCAAGCUGUUUCUGCAACCUACACCACAGCUUAUGGCAAUGCCAGAUCCUUAACCCAUGAAUGAGGCCGAGGGUGGAAACCACAUCCUCAUGGAUACUAGUCAGUUCAUUACCGCUGAGCCACAACAGGAACUCCUGCAAAUUCCAUAUUGUUAUUUGGCACAUAACAGGUGCUGAGUAAACAGCAGCUAUAUUAUUGUUAGGUUUUUCAAAAGUAAAACAUGCUAGAAAUUCUGAAGAGUAUAUUUAUCUCAGUGGGACAGAGAACAGAAGGAAAAUCCUAAGCAAGAUCCUCAGGAUCUUGAAAGUGAGAGAAAAGAGAAUGGAUCACAGAGGGGCAGGGGUGUUGGAGGAACGAAUGCCAAUCCAGAAAAGGGGAAAGAUUGGAGGAAACUCAAGGGCCCAAGAGUCAAAGGAGAGGCUAGAAAAAGUGUCAGAAGAAAGGACAGAGAGAAGGUCAAAAGAAGAGAGAGGAGGGGGAAAAUGGAAGGCUAGCAGAGAAACCAGUGGUUUAUAAAGGGUGAUAAUUGAGGAAGACAGAAGAGGAAAAAAAAAAAAAAAA